GUCGGCGGCCCCCAGCCCGCAGAGCGAGGCCGUGGCCAAUGAGCUGCAGGAGCUCUCCCUGCAGCCCGAGCUGACCCUCAGCCUCCAUCAUGGCCGGAACCCCAACCUGCCCCCGCUCAGUGAAAGGAAGAACGACUGCCCACUUUUUUCCUUCUGCCUCCUCCCCCAUCCCGGACCAUGAGGGUUCUUCUAACAGUUCUGCAGAAUUUCCAGAUGUCUGGCUGCCCUGCUGCAACUGCGCUCCAUUAACCGAGAGGGAAGAAGACAUACAGAAAGCCCAAACAUUUCUGCAGCAUAAUCAUAAUAAAUCUGACAUAUCAUGAAA
Long non-coding RNA from Melospiza melodia melodia, 325 nucleotides. RefSeq lists it as uncharacterized. The record is from RefSeq and is a predicted model, not a curated record. The transcript is spliced from 2 exons. Lineage: Eukaryota; Metazoa; Chordata; Aves; Passeriformes; Passerellidae.